This 497-nucleotide ribosomal RNA is filed under the name uncultured bacterium. RNAcentral describes it as "partial 16S ribosomal RNA". It matches the Rfam family "Bacterial small subunit ribosomal RNA", at positions 28 to 507 of the family's 1533-position model. The record is from RNAcentral.
GACGAACGCUGGCGGCGUGCCUAAUACAUGCAAGUUGAGCGCUGAAGGUUGGUACUUGUACCGACUGGAUGAGCAGCGAACGGGUGAGUAACGCGUGGGGAAUCUGCCUUUGAGCGGGGGACAACAUUUGGAAACGAAUGCUAAUACCGCAUAAAAACUUUAAACACAAGUUUUAAGUUUGAAAGAUGCAAUUGCAUCACUCAAAGAUGAUCCCGCGUUGUAUUAGCUAGUUGGUGAGGUAAAGGCUCACCAAGGCGAUGAUACAUAGCCGACCUGAGAGGGUGAUCGGCCACAUUGGGACUGAGACACGGCCCAAACUCCUACGGGAGGCAGCAGUAGGGAAUCUUCGGCAAUGGACGAAAGUCUGACCGAGCAACGCCGCGUGAGUGAAGAAGGUUUUCGGAUCGUAAAACUCUGUUGGUAGAGAAGAACGUUGGUGAGAGUAGAAAGCUCAUCAAGUGACGGUAACUACCCAGAAAGGGACGGCUAACUACGUG